GUGAAUCAUCGAAUUUUUGAACGCAAAUUGCACUCCCUGGUAUUCCGGGGAGUAUGCCUGUUUGAGGGUCGUUAGAAUAAAAAAUAGAGGCGUUGCUCUUUUUUUUAAGGGUGAUCGUGUCGGAAUUGAGUUGUCUUUCAAAUGUUAAUUCAUGUUAAAGUGGCUUAAAAUUCAUCAAUACGGUAUGAUUAAAGCGUAUUUAAGAUCAAUUUUGUUCAAGAUCGCGUGAUGACGUACCAUCUCAUGUAGUACGUUUGACAUGGGUCAUG
RNAcentral lists this unclassified non-coding RNA (269 nucleotides) under Funneliformis mosseae. Its description in RNAcentral is "partial contains 5.8S ribosomal RNA and internal transcribed spacer 2". The stretch from base 1 to 71 matches the Rfam family "5.8S ribosomal RNA", at positions 84 to 154 of the family's 154-position model. Lineage: Eukaryota; Fungi; Glomeromycota; Glomeromycetes; Glomerales; Glomeraceae. The record is from RNAcentral.